ACUUCGAAGUAUAUCAAAGUCCUGUUGUUUGAGUACGUAAUAAGUAAAUUCAUUAACCAAGUUGUAAAGCGCAAGAAAACAGAUUUUCAUAUAGUCCGGAAGAUGGUUCAAAGCAUAAUUGAUGUCCCACAUGUAGAAAACGAAAAAAAAAAACAAAAUUCAUAUGACUGGUUUAUUAAUUUGAGAAGUAACAAGCAUCUACCUAACAGUUGAAUUAAUCAAUUAGGUAUAACAUUAAUUUGCUAACAAACCUCUCAACAGCAGCAGCAAAUAGCUCAAGUUCAUCCAAAGUUCCAUAAACAUCAUAAAUAUCAUCAAUCACUGAAAUUAGAGCAAAUGUGAUUGUG
Molecule: long non-coding RNA, 347 nt
Filed under: Citrus sinensis (sweet orange)
Lineage: Eukaryota; Viridiplantae; Streptophyta; Magnoliopsida; Sapindales; Rutaceae
Description: long non-coding RNA (CSIN_LNC005210)
Source: RNAcentral